GGGGAGCGAGAGCAUCUCUCUCACGCGCGGCGGCGGCGGCGGUAGCGGCGGCUCCAGCUCCUCCUUUGUUCGCCUCCACACACCCCACCUCGCCAGCUCUUAGAGAUACCGGGCCGCCCGGCUGGCGGGGGCCGGCACGCAUUGAAAUAGAUACUGACAAUUCAAAGAAAUUGCUCAUUGCCACGGUGGACAACUGCUAUGAGUUAACAAGCAACCUGAAUUUCACAGGAUACCAUCUUGAACAACAUUGUUGAAAAUGUCUACUCCUGAUCCUCCAAUGGGAGGAACGCCUCGUCCUGGGCCUUCUCCUGGGCCUGGACCUUCUCCUGGUGCUAUGCUGGGCCCCAGCCCUGGACCGUCUCCAGGUUCUGCACAUAGCAUGAUGGGCCCCAGCCCCGGGCCACCAUCAGCAGGACACCCUAUACAACCACAAGGGCCUGGAGGUUAUUCUCAGGACAACAUGCAUCAGAUGCAUAAGCCAAUGGAUUCCAUGCAUGAGAAGGGAAUAUCUGAGGAUCCUCGUUACAGCCAAAUGAAGGGCAUGGGAAUGAGGGCUGGUGGGCACACAGGAAUGGGACCUCCUCCUAGUCCAAUGGAUCAGCAUUCUCAAGGUUACCCUUCUCCCCUUGGUGGUUCUGAACAUGCAUCGAGUCCAGUUCCAGCUAAUGGUCCUUCUUCUGGCCCCCAGAUACCCUCUGGUCCUGGAGGAGUCCCAUUAGAUGGUACUGACCCCCAAGCGCUAGGGCAGCAGAAUCGUGGCCCAACUCCUUUUAACCAGAAUCAGCUGCAUCAACUGAGGGCUCAGAUAAUGGCCUACAAGAUGCUUGCCAGAGGCCAGCCUUUACCUGACCAUCUUCACAUGGCCGUGCAGGGAAAAAGGCCAAUGCCUGGAAUGCAGCAGCAAAUGCCAACUCUACCUCCACCUUCUGUAUCUGGAACAGGACCAGUGCAAGGACCAGGGCCUGCACCUGGACCAACACCUCCGAACUACAACAGACCUCAUGGAGUGAUACAAACGGUGGAGGAAGAAAAACCUUACUCUGUGUGUAUGUGUCUGUCCAAUGUAUGCACAGGUAUGGGAGGGCCUAACAUGCCCCCUCCUGGACCCUCAGGAGUUCCUCCAGGAAUGCCCGGGCAGCCCCCUGGUGGACCCCCAAAGCCCUGGCCUGAAGGACCAAUGGCAAAUGCUGCAGCCCCUACUAGCACACCUCAGAAACUGAUCCCUCCUCAGCCAACAGGCCGUCCUUCACCAGCACCUCCGGCGGUACCUCCAGCAGCAUCCCCUGUAAUGCCUCCCCAAACUCAGUCACCGGGACAACCAGCCCAACCUGCCCCAAUGGUGCAACUCCACCAGAAGCAAAACCGUAUCACUCCAAUCCAGAAACCAAGAGGACUUGACCCAGUUGAAAUCCUUCAAGAGAGGGAGUACAGACUGCAGGCUCGCAUUGCUCACAGGAUACAAGAACUUGAAAACCUUCCUGGGUCACUGGCUGGUGACCUGCGAACCAAAGCUACCAUUGAACUUAAAGCACUACGAUUGCUUAACUUCCAGCGACAGCUGCGUCAAGAAGUUGUGGUAUGCAUGAGAAGAGAUACUGCUCUGGAAACAGCACUGAACGCCAAGGCAUACAAACGUAGCAAACGGCAGUCCCUGCGGGAAGCUCGCAUCACUGAGAAGCUGGAGAAACAGCAGAAGAUCGAACAAGAACGGAAACGCCGGCAAAAACAUCAGGAGUACCUCAAUAGCAUUCUUCAGCAUGCCAAGGAUUUUAAAGAAUACCACCGAUCUGUCACAGGGAAGAUUCAAAAACUGACAAAGGCUGUGGCCACUUACCAUGCCAAUACUGAGCGUGAGCAAAAGAAGGAGAAUGAGAGAAUUGAGAAGGAGAGAAUGCGUAGGUUGAUGGCUGAAGAUGAAGAAGGGUACCGUAAGCUAAUUGAUCAAAAGAAAGAUAAGCGCUUAGCCUACCUGCUUCAGCAAACAGAUGAAUAUGUGGCCAACCUCACAGAGCUGGUGAGACAACACAAGGCUGCCCAAGUUGCAAAGGAGAAAAAGAAGAAGAAGAAAAAGAAGAAGGCUGAAACUGCAGAAGGACAGACACCGGCAAUUGGACCAGAUGGUGAACCUUUGGAUGAAACCAGCCAAAUGAGUGACCUACCUGUGAAAGUGAUCCAUGUGGAAAGUGGGAAAAUUCUUACUGGCAUGGAUGCACCGAAAGCAGGACAACUGGAUACUUGGUUAGAAAUGAAUCCUGGAUAUGAAGUAGCACCAAGAUCUGACAGUGAAGAAAGCGGAUCAGAAGAGGAAGAAGAGGAGGAGGAAGAGGAACAACCACCGCCAUCUCAGCCUGCUUUACCUGUGGUGGAGGAGAAGAAGAAAAUUCCAGAUCCAGAUAGUGAUGAUGUAUCUGAAGUGGAUGCAAGGCACAUUAUUGAGAAUGCAAAGCAAGAUGUUGAUGACGAGUAUGGAGUGUCUCAAGCCCUGGCAAGGGGGUUACAGUCUUACUACGCUGUGGCUCAUGCAGUCACUGAAAGGGUGGACAAGCAGUCCACUCUCAUGGUAAAUGGUGUCCUCAAGCAGUAUCAGAUUAAAGGUUUAGAGUGGCUAGUAUCCUUGUACAAUAAUAAUCUAAAUGGAAUCCUGGCAGAUGAAAUGGGUCUGGGUAAGACAAUCCAGACCAUUGCUUUAAUUACAUACCUCAUGGAGCACAAACGUAUCAAUGGACCGUUCCUCAUUAUAGUACCUCUGUCAACUCUCUCAAACUGGGCAUAUGAAUUUGAUAAGUGGGCUCCUUCUGUGGUUAAAGUCUCAUACAAGGGCUCUCCAGCUGCAAGACGGGCAUUUGUACCUCAGCUUCGAAGUGGGAAGUUUAAUGUUUUGCUCACUACAUAUGAAUAUAUCAUCAAAGAUAAGCACAUUCUUGCCAAGAUUCGUUGGAAGUACAUGAUUGUUGACGAAGGUCACCGAAUGAAGAACCACCAUUGCAAGCUAACCCAAGUCCUGAAUACACACUACGUAGCUCCACGUCGUCUGCUUCUCACAGGGACUCCACUACAGAAUAAGCUGCCUGAACUAUGGGCUCUGCUCAACUUUCUCCUUCCAACUAUCUUCAAGAGCUGUAGCACAUUUGAACAGUGGUUUAAUGCUCCUUUUGCCAUGACUGGAGAAAAGGUGGAUUUAAAUGAAGAAGAAACUAUUCUAAUUAUCCGUCGUUUGCACAAAGUGUUGCGGCCCUUCCUGCUAAGAAGGUUAAAGAAGGAGGUAGAAGCACAGCUGCCUGAAAAGGUGGAAUAUGUGAUUAAGUGUGAUAUGUCUGCAUUACAAAGGGUACUUUAUAGACACAUGCAAGCCAAGGGAGUGCUGCUUACAGAUGGAUCAGAGAAGGACAAAAAGGGCAAAGGUGGUACAAAAACGCUCAUGAACACUAUUAUGCAGCUGAGGAAGAUUUGCAACCAUCCCUACAUGUUUCAGCACAUAGAGGAAUCCUUUUCUGAGCACUUAGGCUUCACUGGAGGCAUUGUGCAAGGGCUUGAUCUGUACCGUGCUUCAGGGAAGUUUGAGCUCCUAGAUCGGAUCCUUCCCAAGUUACGAGCUACCAACCACAAGGUGCUGCUUUUUUGUCAGAUGACCUCCCUCAUGACCAUAAUGGAAGAUUAUUUUGCUUACCGUGGCUUCAAAUACCUCAGGCUAGAUGGAACCACUAAAGCGGAAGACCGUGGCAUGCUGCUGAAAACGUUCAAUGAGCCGGGCUCUGAAUAUUUUAUUUUUUUGCUGAGUACCCGAGCUGGAGGCCUGGGGCUAAACCUACAGUCUGCUGACACUGUGAUCAUUUUUGACAGUGAUUGGAAUCCCCACCAGGACCUGCAGGCCCAGGACCGAGCGCAUCGCAUCGGGCAGCAGAACGAAGUCCGUGUGCUGCGCCUCUGCACCGUGAACAGCGUGGAAGAGAAGAUUCUCGCUGCAGCCAAGUACAAGCUGAAUGUAGAUCAAAAGGUUAUCCAGGCUGGCAUGUUUGACCAGAAAUCUUCCAGCCAUGAAAGGAGAGCUUUUCUCCAGGCUAUCUUGGAGCAUGAGGAGCAGGAUGAGACCAGAUACAGCACGGGCAGCGGCAGUGGCAGCGCAAGCUUUCCCCACACUGCCUCAUCCCUGUGCCUCAACUCCGACUUGGAGGAACCACCUUUAAAGGAGGAAGACGAAGUUCCUGAUGAUGAGACAGUUAACCAGAUGAUUGCCCGGCAUGAGGAGGAGUUUGACCUUUUUAUGCGCAUGGACUUGGAUCGCAGGCGAGAAGAAGCCCGCAAUCCAAAGAGAAAGCCACGUCUAAUGGAAGAGGAUGAAUUGCCCUCUUGGAUCAUUAAAGAUGAUGCUGAAGUAGAAAGGCUAACCUGCGAGGAAGAGGAAGAAAAGAUGUUUGGGCGAGGUUCUCGUCACCGUAAGGAAGUGGACUAUAGUGACUCGCUGACUGAGAAGCAGUGGCUCAAGGUAUACAUGGUACAGCAUCGUUCUCCAAUGAUUUUCUAAAUUUUUAUUUCUACUUGUGUCUGUGUUGUCUGUCUGUGUGUUGGAAAGUUGAGAAAAAUACCCAGUCUCAGAAGUUUUGAUGGUCAGCUAAGAUUGUGCUAGCAAACACCGAGUUUGGCAACAAUACUUUUUCGACAUGAUUAUCAUAAAUACUAUGAUGUUAUUAAAUUGAUAACCUAAAUGUUGGCAUUUAUAAAGUCUAGGAGCUUUCUUGAAAUACACAUCAACUUCACCAUGCAAAACUUCUGUUGGGUAUUAGGAACUCAGCUGUGUGGAAACCAUGUUGCCAAAUUUAAAUUCAAUUGAUCUCCUUGACAAACAUUUCAGAUGCAGAAGGCCUGCUUGCUAUGCAGCUGAGUGUAUGCUCUUCUUGCCUGCCUGGCCCAGCAUAUAUUUCAUCCUACUUGUUGCUAGGCAGUGAUCCAGAGACUGGGGGGCUCUCCUUUGGCCUGCAAGAGGCAGACUUUGGGACAGCACGGGGAGGGAAUAAGAAGCUGGUCCUGAGCUGCAGUAGCCAUCCCGAAGCACCGUUCCUCCUCAGAGCUUGGGCAAGAGAAAGAAAGUGCAGGUUUGGUUAACUUUGCUCUGCUGCCAAUCAAGCUAAGCUGGGUUUUUUCUUUGUGGAACACCCCAGGUGCUGAGUUAGGCUCUUAUGAGUUGAAGGAUUCAAGCCCAAGAAUUAAUCAGCAAAGGAGGAAGAGUUGUUCUGCUUUGCUCAGCCUUCCCAAAGGGUGAGAAAUUCCAUGUGCAAGUUUGGAGCCAGAGAAUCUUGCUAUGAAAUUCAGUUAUGAGUUCCUCCUUCCAACCUGCUCUCUUAAGGGCAUGAUGGCAAAGUCAGGUUCUCCAGCUGAAUAGCGAGUCCUCCGCCCACAGGUUAUGCUGUCCUGUUUGUCCAAGGCAGGGACAUGUGACUAACAUGGUGAACUGCAGUUUCAAGGCAUUUCUUACAGCUUCGUAGAGUGAACCAAAACAAGGUGUCUUGUCCAGACUAAACACUAGACCAGGAUCUGUCUACUGCACUCAGAGUCUCGGUUGUUCGUGUUGCCUAAAAUACUUGAAGCUUUGACAUUUCUUACCAUAGACUUCUGCUUGCUACCUGAGGGGAACACCCAGCCCUAUGGACCAAGUGCACAGAAAAUGAGCCUGGCCUUAAGAAGAUCCACAGAGCACAUGACUGAAGUCAUUAAGGUGGUCUCUGCCACCACUUAUCCUGUUAGAGGCAUUCUAGCCUGCCUUAAGGCCCUGAAGGAGGAGUUGUCAGAAGCUGCAACUUCUCUUGCAAAUAUUCUUGUACCUCAUACAUGCUAUUGUUCCAUGUAUUUUUUAGUGGCUCAAGAUGCUGUCGCAUCUUCUAUCUGGUCUCCGCAGACCUUGACAUGUGUCUGCAUCUUUGUGCUGUUUCACCUGUCCCUUUGGAGAGGAUGCUAUAAAAAGCCUUGCCAUUGGGAAGUUUGGUGCUGGUCAGCAGGUGCUUUUGAGCUACAUAGACCAGUGUAUGUAACACAGAACUAAACAGCUCCUUCUGGUAACUGCCAGUAGUGUGAAAGUGAGGCUGCCCAUUAUGCAAGUUGGUUGCACGUUCUCAUGGGCACCCGUCUGUCUUCCCUGGAACAAAUUCUUUGGGAGAGGGACUGAAACGUUGAGGUGGCAUGCAUGCCGUGCAUGUGUCAGAGUCAGUCCAUUUCAAGAUCACCAGUGGACCACAACCUGAGAAAGGCAUCUGCUGGAGACACUGGGGAGAAGCUGAUGUUCCACAGUGUCUCUAGAUGCAGCAUAUUAAUUCCCAAGGGCAGGAGGCCGAAACUCAAAUUGAGAAAAUGCCAUUCCAGCUCCUCUGAUGGUAAUGGCAGUGCCAUUAGAGGAGAUCUGCUUAAAAGACUGUGCCUCACUGCAGGGUAUUUUCACAGACCACAUCACAGCAAACUAGAUUUCAGAGAAGUUUAUUUUGCGGAAGAGUCAUUGGCAUGAUGACUAUUGGUUUUUCCAGCAGUUUCAGAGGAAACGCAGGCAUCAUGCAUCAGGAUUCAUGCAGGCAACACUUCUCCUUCAACCCAGAGAUUGUUCAGGUGCUUUCUAGCUUGAGACCAGCAUGGGCCUUUUGUCACCAAGUAAAGUAUCCCUUACUGGGUUUGAAGUGCAUUUGAAACUUUGCUGAGAACAUGAUCAGCACCUUGAUGCUUUGGAUUUGGGCUUUACUUUGUUGGACUUUACUCUGUUCCAAGUCAUCGUACACCUUGGUGGGGCAAGCAUAAGGCCACCCUGUUUCAUCCCCACCCCAUUCCGGGGCCGAAAAUGGCACAUGUGUCUGUGGUCGUGCAUGCCUUGAACACGUGCAAAAUGGGAGUUGCCUGUAUUUCAUAUUGGGAGCUCCAGCAUUUAAACCUUCGCAGGUGGAAAAAGCUGUGCAUGGCCCUUUUACAAUAUACACAGCAAACAGAGUUUGAAGGGCUGUGUGCUGUAAAAUAUCUGCUGUCGAAGCUAAAAGUUGAAACGUGUCCUGCAGUUUUCUGUGAAUCAACUAGACGUCUAAUAGUCAAACUUGGGUUCUUCAGUCUGCAAAACCUUUGCUUCAGCAAUUCUUACAGGGUCAAGCUGCUUUUUACAACCAAACAUGGAGCACUUUGCUGUGGAUAUUGCUGCUUUUAAAGAAAAAGAUAUCACUUUAAACUUGUCUAUAUGAUAGAUCAGUAUUUGGUGCGCAUUGAAGCAAAAAUCUUGCCUGUAACUGGUUUGUGUUCUGCUUGUUGCGCAUUUUGAUAAGAUCUAUCCGUAUGAAGAGACACAUUUCUAAGCCUGUCUUUCUACCAAGGUGUAUCCAAACCUUGUUUAUAAAUGUAGUAAUUAAAAAAACUGUGCAUGAACCUCAGGGUUCUGGUGCUCUCGCCUACCUCCAGUGAGCAGACCACUGCCCAGCAACAAAUAAAACAGAAAAUGUUGUCUUAGCUUAAAUUUUCUGCCUGAUUGUUUAUUGGGCAGCAAUCCAUAACCUGCAUGUUUCAGUGGUAGUCUGUUGGUUGUAUAGUGUGCUUGUUGUUUGAGUUGUAGUGUGUGAGGUCUUAGGCUAGGAGUGGAUGGUUGUACAGAGGAAGAGGUGGGUGCUCUCCAAGUCCUUCCCAGAGACUUUUUACUUCAGCAUCUGCUCCUUAUUGGCUGGUCAGAGAGUGUGCCCUGUCUCUGGACUGCUACCUAUCAAACAAGUAGAAACAAAAAAAAGGUAAGACCACUUUUUCUGUGUUACACCAUGUUUGAAGGUGUAAAGGAGGAAAAUAUCGUUUUAUUUUAUUUUUGCUUCUGGCCUAAGUACUUCAAAAGUUAAAUGCUUCAUCAAAAGAUAAUGAAGAUCGUAUGUUGCCAAUAAGUCAGUCGCUAAAUAUCAGAGUGACCUGCCAAGCAAGGUUAUUUAUAUGUUCUGCUCCUUUAUUGCAGAUCACCUUAGUUUUCUUUCCCUGACAGAUUCAUUGAAUUCAUUUUUAUAUUUUAAAAAUUGCAGAAGCCUCUUUUUACAAAGCAGAUAUUAUUCCUAGCUGGGCAGUCUUUGUGGGCAUGCUUUUCUCCUGCUUCCUUACCCACUAACUGGAUUCUCCAGGGCAGCAUCUUCCUGCCUUCUGAUAGGAAAGGCAGCAUGUUUGGGAUCUCUCUGUAGCCCCUCUUUUCAAGCCUGGCUUGAGCUAUGCCCACUAGCAAGUAGCUGAGGCUUAACCGCCAGGAAUCACACUGGUCCCUAUAGGUAGCCCAGCCUUCAGCUGUAAUGCUUUGCAGCCUCAAAGGUUACUUUCAUAGUGAAGUUGAAGGUCACAUCUUUUUACCGCGCAUAAUGAGGGAAACAGGAGACUGAUCUCAUCUUGGCAGUUCCCUGGCACUUGAAGGAAUUGUGCCAGUAUCUGGAGACAACGUGCUUAGGUGGAGCAUUUCUUGUAAUUGCCUUUUUUGAACAUCCCACCCUAUCCAAAAGAGCAAGCAGAAGCAAGAAUACCUUCUUGCGGAAUGAAGGUAACCCCACAGCCGGACAGUGGAUCAUUGACCAGAGGAUCUGGAAAGGGAUUAACAAUGCUUUAUUUCCUAGGAAAGAUUUAAAAACCUGCUAUAGCUUAGGGCAGUGCGUGGCAAACCCAUUAGCUAUACCAGUGAGAGGGAAAUUGCUCAUACACGCCUUCAAGCAUAAGGCAAGCUGGUUGUUUUUUUUUAUGUUUUACAUGGGACAAUGGACUCCAUUUCAGUUCUGGAUCAAGAAUAAGGAAUGCCUUUAGCUCCCAGAUACUUUUCCAUUGGACUCCACAUUUAAUGUUUCAUACUUGUGCCCUUUAAAAGUGAAUGGUGCCUUCCACUAGAGCCCAAUCAGAAUCUUUGGCAGGAAUCUAGCAAGGUCUUCAGCCCAUUACUAUGUGUUUUGUUGUUCUCUCUUGAAGAGGCAUAGCAGUGUCUCACAGCUAAUGUUCUGGACUUCUCUUCCUGGUAGGUACUAAUUGAUCACAAAGCAGAGGCCCCAACAAAAACAUAGAAACUACGUGUAUUCAUAGUUCCUUGAGUGAUUUUGCCCCACCCUCCUUCCUCUGGAGGUGUCUUGCUCUGAGACAGACAGUAAGACCUACAGACUUUGGAAAAGGAUGAAUAGAAAGCAGCAUUUCUGGGGCCCCUUUUCUUUUGACACCAGUUCUGAGAGAGAUGUGUGCACCUGAGCCUUCCAUGGUGUUUCAUGUGUUGGCCAGUGCUGAGGUACAGCACCUGGUGUGUGACUAAAGAAGACCAUUACAAGAAGGCGAGGAAUCUCCAUAGUUGGGGGAAAGUGAGGUUGAGCGGGGAAUUUGAAAGUGGCAGAUACAGUGGGUGGUGCCCCCCAGAGGCCCAAGUUUCUAUAGAAGGAAGAGUCAGGGCAAUUUCUUAGGCUCCAGUCUUUUUCUUUACAGUCAUUGAAGAGCCGUCUGCCUCCAUCACACUUGUUCUCUCUCUGUUCACCAAAUUGACCACAGUCAAUAAGACACAUGCAGACUCCAGGUCUCUGUUCCUCAGCAACUGACAAUAGCGCCUACAGCACAUAUUCCACAACUUACUAUUCACCAUAAUUGAAAAGGUGGGUAUUUAGUGUGUGGAGAGGCUAGGAACCAAAAUGGGUUGCGGCCAGGGUGUCGGUGCCAUUUAAACGAAUUGCAACUAGAACCUUGUUGGCAGGCCAUUCUCCUCUUAAAAGUCCUGUUCCAGUUUGCAGGUGUUUAUGGAUAGUGCCUGAGUUGCAACCUUGAGGUUGAUUUGCUUUGGACGAGAGCCUCCAGCCAUGUAUGACUAAAGAAAAAGGAAAGAUGGGCCAUUUUUUUACUUCUGAGUUUUCCUACUUCUGUUAUACAUGGCCUGCAGUUUGCCGGCCUCUAUUCCUCUCCUGUGCAAUCUGAAGCGUCAAUGUGUAUUGUUAACUGGUGGUUAGUAGCCGCGGGUCUCUUUGCAGCUUUGGAAGAAUUUGCAACUGAGCUGGCAGGAAGGGGCAUCCCCGCACCCUCCUCUGCAUUGUCACGACAGAUUCCUCUGCAGAGUCCCAGCCUGCCGGCCCUGUUUAACAUGAGAAGAAAAGCUCAUAGGCCAUAGAGGAGGGAACGCUGGAGGAGAUAGAAGAGGAGGUGCGCCAGAAGAAAUCUUCCCGCAAGCGCAAGAGGGAUGUGGAUGUCAGCUCAUCCACGCCAACCACCAGCACUCGCAGCCGGGAUAAAGAC
This is a non-coding RNA of Zootoca vivipara (common lizard), 10221 nucleotides long. NCBI's taxonomy places the organism in Eukaryota, Metazoa, Chordata, Lepidosauria, Squamata, Lacertidae. The record is from RefSeq and is a predicted model, not a curated record.